RNAcentral lists this ribosomal RNA (253 nucleotides) under uncultured bacterium. RNAcentral describes it as "partial 16S ribosomal RNA". It matches the Rfam family "Bacterial small subunit ribosomal RNA", at positions 524 to 776 of the family's 1533-position model. The record is from RNAcentral.
UACGUAGGGUGCGAGCGUUAAUCGGAAUUACUGGGCGUAAAGCGUGCGCAGGCGGCUUCGCAAGUCAGACGUGAAAUCCCCGGGCUUAACCUGGGAAUGGCGUUUGAAACUACGGAGCUGGAGUGUGGCAGAGGGAGGUAGAAUUCCACGUGUAGCGGUGAAAUGCGUAGAGAUGCGGAGGAACACCGAUGGCGAAGGCAGCCCCCUGGGCUAGCACUGACGCUCAGGCACGAAAGCGUGGGGAGCAAACAGG